This 767-nucleotide ribosomal RNA is filed under the name uncultured Pseudomonadota bacterium. RNAcentral describes it as "bacterial SSU rRNA". It matches the Rfam family "Bacterial small subunit ribosomal RNA", at positions 58 to 802 of the family's 1533-position model. Lineage: Bacteria; Pseudomonadati; Pseudomonadota. The record is from RNAcentral.
CAAGUCGAACGCGAAAGUGGAGCAAUCCAUGAGUAGAGUGGCAAACGGGUGAGUAACACGUUGGGUGACCUGCCUUCGAGCGGGGGAUAACGUCCCGAAAGGGACGCUAAUACCGCAUAACAUCCUGCCUUUUAAGAGGUGGAGAUCAAAGCCGGGGAUCGCAAGACCUGGCACUUGAAGAGGGGCCCGCGCCUGAUUAGCUAGUUGGUGGGGUAAUGGCUCACCAAGGCAACGAUCAGUAUCCGGCCUGAGAGGGCGGACGGACACACUGGGACUGAGACACGGCCCAGACUCCUACGGGAGGCAGCAGUGGGGAAUUGUUCGCAAUGGGCGCAAGCCUGACGACGCAACGCCGCGUGGAGGAUGAAGACCUUCGGGUCGUAAACUCCUUUCGAUCGAGACGAAUGGUCUCUGGGUGAACAAUCCGGAGAAGUGACGGUACCGAGAGAAGAAGCCCCGGCUAACUCCGUGCCAGCAGCCGCNGUAAUACGGGGGGGGCAAGCGUUGUUCGGAAUUACUGGGCGUAAAGGGCUCGUAGGUGGCCAACUAAGUCAGACGUGAAAUCCCUCAGCUUAACUGGGGAACUGCGUCUGAUACUGGAUGGCUUGAGUUUGGGAGAGGGAUGCGGAAUUCCAGGUGUAGCGGUGAAAUGCGUAAAUAUCUGGAGGAACACCGGUGGGCGAAGGCGGCAUCCUGGACCAACACUGACACUGAGGAGCGAAAGCCAGGGGAGCAAACGGGAUUAGAUACCCCGGUAGUCCUGGCCU